This 611-nucleotide ribosomal RNA is filed under the name Bradyrhizobium sp. STM 1472. RNAcentral's name for it is "bacterial SSU rRNA". It matches the Rfam family "Bacterial small subunit ribosomal RNA", at positions 897 to 1507 of the family's 1533-position model. Lineage: Bacteria; Pseudomonadati; Pseudomonadota; Alphaproteobacteria; Hyphomicrobiales; Nitrobacteraceae. The record is from RNAcentral. RNAcentral also lists the same sequence under 1 other name.
AAACUCAAAGGAAUUGACGGGGGCCCGCACAAGCGGUGGAGCAUGUGGUUUAAUUCGACGCAACGCGCAGAACCUUACCAGCCCUUGACAUGUCCAGGACCGGUCGCAGAGAUGUGACCCUCUCUUCGGAGCCUGGAACACAGGUGCUGCAUGGCUGUCGUCAGCUCGUGUCGUGAGAUGUUGGGUUAAGUCCCGCAACGAGCGCAACCCCCGUCCUUAGUUGCUACCAUUUAGUUGAGCACUCUAAGGAGACUGCCGGUGAUAAGCCGCGAGGAAGGUGGGGAUGACGUCAAGUCCUCAUGGCCCUUACGGGCUGGGCUACACACGUGCUACAAUGGCGGUGACAAUGGGAUGCUAAGGGGCGACCCUUCGCAAAUCUCAAAAAGCCGUCUCAGUUCGGAUUGGGCUCUGCAACUCGAGCCCAUGAAGUUGGAAUCGCUAGUAAUCGUGGAUCAGCACGCCACGGUGAAUACGUUCCCGGGCCUUGUACACACCGCCCGUCACACCAUGGGAGUUGGUUUUACCUGAAGACGGUGCGCUAACCGCAAGGAGGCAGCCGGCCACGGUAGGGUCAGCGACUGGGGUGAAGUCGUAACAAGGUAGCCGUAGGG